Molecule: transfer RNA, 73 nt
Filed under: Muribaculaceae bacterium
Lineage: Bacteria; Pseudomonadati; Bacteroidota; Bacteroidia; Bacteroidales; Muribaculaceae
Also listed under: 1 other name
Description: tRNA-Gly
Rfam family: tRNA
About the family: Transfer RNA (tRNA) molecules are approximately 80 nucleotides in length. Their secondary structure includes four short double-helical elements and three loops (D, anti-codon, and T loops).
Source: RNAcentral
GCGACAGUAGCUCAGUUGGUAGAGCGCGACCUUGCCAAGGUCGAGGUCGCGGGUCCGAGUCCCGUCUGUCGCU